Molecule: ribosomal RNA, 427 nt
Filed under: uncultured bacterium
Lineage: Bacteria
Description: bacterial SSU rRNA
Rfam family: Bacterial small subunit ribosomal RNA
Source: RNAcentral
GUGGGGAAUAUUGGGCAAUGGGGGAAACCCUGACCCAGCAACGCCGCGUGAGGGAAGAAGGUUUUCGGAUUGUAAACCUCUGUCCUUGGUGACGAAGGAAGUGACGGUAGCCAAGGAGGAAGCCCCGGCUAACUACGUGCCAGCAGCCGCGGUAAUACGUAGGGGGCAAGCGUUGUCCGGAAUGACUGGGCGUAAAGGGCGUGUAGGCGGCCGAUUAAGUCUGGAGUGAAAGUCCUGCUUUCAAGGUGGGAAUUGCUUUGGAGACUGGUUGGCUUGAGUGCGGAAGAGGUAAGUGGAAGUCCCAGUGUAGCGGUGAAAUGCGUAGAGAUUGGGAGGAACACCAGUGGCGAAGGCGACUUACUGGGCCGUAACUGACGCUGAGGCGCGAAAGCGUGGGGAGCGAACAGGAUUAGAAACCCCUGUAUCC